Molecule: ribosomal RNA, 409 nt
Filed under: uncultured bacterium
Lineage: Bacteria
Description: bacterial SSU rRNA
Rfam family: Bacterial small subunit ribosomal RNA
Source: RNAcentral
AGCGAACGUUAGCGGCGGGCUUAACACAUGCAAGUCGAACGAGAAUGAGGGGGGCAACUCCUCUAGUAAAGUGGCGGACGGGUGCGUAACACGUGGGUAAUUUACCUUCCGGCGGGGGACAACAGUCCGAAAGGGAUUGCUAAUACCGCAUACGUCGGCGAGAACUCUGGUUCUUGUCGGGAAAGAUGGCCUCUCCUUGGAAGCUAUCCCCGGAAGAUGAACCCGCGUCCCAUCAGCUAGUUGGUGAGGAACGGCUCACCAAGGCUAAGACGGGUAGCUGGUCUGAGAGGAUGAUCAGCCACACUGGGACUGCGACACGGCCCAGACUCCUACGGGAGGCAGCAGUGGGGAAUAUUGGGCAAUGGGCGAAAGCCUGACCCAGCCACGCCGCGUGAGUGAUGAAGGCCUC